UCCCGCCCUGGCCACGAUCCUCGCGGCGGCGCUCGGCCGGCGGGACGCCCUGCGCCGUUUCUGCUUCCUGCCGCCGAGCGCCGCCUCUGGCUGGGGCGAACGGCCGGGCUCCGCCCAAGGCUCGCUGAGGCGCCCGUUUCCCUGCUCUGAGAAGGCCUGGGGGCCACGAGGGAGCUGCGCGAUCUCCAAGCAGAGCCCGGCGCAGCGUGGCGGAAGGGAUGCUUCCCUUUAUUCCUGCACCCACAGGCGGCCACGACUGCCGGAUUCCCGUUUGGCAGUCUCUCACAUCUGCAAACUCAGGCAACACCCUGGAAAGCCCCUCUGAGUGGCCACACCUCAGUCUCAUUACACUGGCACCGCCUGGCACCGAUCUGCGCCUUUCUCCCCUGACCUGACAGCAGAGCAACCUGCCCUGCUCUUCAUGCCCUAACCGUGAAGGAAGGGAUCCAUGGAUCAACGGCCCCAUGAUCGCCUUAAACCUUUAUCACUGCUCUACUUAAACGUAUAGAGAUGUAAACCUGGGUAUUGACUAUUAAGAGCCUUCAUUUGACUCCAAAAUAAAAAUAAAACUGAGAAACCUGCCAACAGCAGCACAGACUCAGUGAAACUCCAAUAGCAAGUGCCAUAGGUUAGAUCCUAGAUACCUUACUGUCACUGCUAUUGGCGUGACAGUCCCGGGGGGCCGGGGGCCUUCCGGAAGCCGUGUGUCUGGGCCAUGACAGCCAAUGGAGAUCUCGCCAAGCCUUGACUACUACGGGAAACACUCCGACGCAGACAUACUGUGUAGGUUUUAGUUUCCCCUCUAUUCUUACUCAUUAGGAUGAAGUAAAUUGGUUCCAUAAAUUCAGAGGUGGGUGCAGAAACUGAAAUUACAAACUCACACCGGAACACACAGCAAUAUAGGUGGGUAAGUCUGAACUUUCCCUACACAGGAAAUGCUCAAGACAACAUGGCUUAGUCCCAAGAUGGAAGCAACACAGCUGUCCCUCAACAGACGGAGGGCGGGCUCAGAACGGUGUGAACCCAAACGCAGUGUCUUUCAGCUUCCCAGGGAUGAAGGUGGCGACAACCAAAUCAACCGUGGGGACCCCGUGCUAAAUGACCACAGGCCAGCCAGGAAAGGAAACACAAGUGCACUGUCCUCGCUCAGGGCGUGUGAAGCCGGCAGAUUCACAGGGACAAAGUCCCGGCACCGGGCCUGGGGAGUGGGGACUGCGAGUUAGCCCGGAGGUGCAGUGUUCCAGAUGAUUCCUGCGAGUGGAUGGUGAGGGUGGUUACACAACAGCGCGGGUGAAUUUGCCACCCCUGAACAACAACGUUCUACGUGUGCUUUACAAUAGCACGUCAAAACGUUACUGUCAGUUUCGGGUAAAAUGUUAAAGAUGCUUGUUGGGAACACAGAGGCUGAAUAUUUCUGCGCCCUUCUCCUCCCAGCCCAGGCCAUUUCACGCACCCUGCCACGGCGCCUCCAGCUCCCUUGGGGCCUCCCAGCUGCCUAGACGCUCAGUACGGGGAGUCACCGUCCACUCUGCGGACAGGCGCCCUCAGCUCUAAGCAGCAGGCAUUCCACACAGACAGGCCUCGUCUCUUAUCUCCCGGCAUGCGUGCUGUUCAGAAGCCGCUUAGAACGAGUGACGCCCCUUGUUCCAGCAGCCCCGCCCCGGUCACCACCUCAUCCUGGUGGGAACCCCUGCAGCUUCUGGCCCACCCGACGCGUCCAGCUCGGGAAGGCCGCACUCUGGCGUGGGCUGCUCCGGCCCACACGGGGACGGCAGAUUUCCACGUUUCUUAGCCAUGACGUCUUGUCGUGUUUCCCCGGCUGCUCUCACACUCCCACGUAGCCGACACUACAGGGGUGUGGCACUGCGCCUGCCUUUGACAGUAAUUUUAGAUGACAGAAAUCAAGAAUGGUUUGAUUCCAGUUUGCCAAGUUUAGCAGUAUGCUUUGCUGGAAGUAGUUUGCUUUCUGAGCCAGUCUUAUAAAGCGGUGGUGAGCACACGGACAACUCUGGAUUAUUUGCAACAUCCAGAAGCCCACGCACAGUUACCGGGGUUCCUGCGAAGGCAGCUGCGGACUGGUCUGAUCGUGAAUGCCCAAGAUCAAGGAAUCAAAGUGCGGCCUUCCUAAAACACUCGCACAAACACGGCCUUCACUGCUGCGCUAAGUAGGCUGUUAAGGACAUUUAUUCUAGUCAACUUACCAAACUCAAUUUGCUUUUUAAAAACUAUAUUCGAGCGCAGUGUGAAUUUUGCACAGUUCACUUCCUUCCACACAAAGAAACAGAAGGAUAAAAGGCUGUUUUCAUUGCUGCUCUUCCACUCAGGCAGCGUCACGGAGCAGGUGGAGGUGACUCACGCUGCCUACUUUCUCUCCAUAAAGGCAGAGACUGAGCUAGGCCACGCUGCUCACUCAGUUCACCUCCCCUCACCCCAAAAUUGCCAAAACCCAAAGGAGAGAGGACUUGGAGCAGCUGCAACAGAAGAGACCCCCAUUCUUCUCUCCUCAGUGACAUCACACAGCCAUGGAACUGCUCCUGAGCAUGCUCCGAGGCGGGGAGGCCACUGACCUCUCCGCUGGCCUCCGGCCGGUCUCUGAGCUGGGAGGUGGAGUGGCUUGGCUCUGUCCCGGCUCGUUUUUAGAUAAAGAUUUUCCAGAUUCUAGCCCUCUUCUCGCGACUCAAGCCCCACGGAUUGCUCUUUUCGCUGAUCUGCUUUCUUACGAAAACCCCCGUCGACAGCCAGGGUCAGGGUGUCCAAGGACUUCUCUACAGGAGGAAUGGGCUCCGCUCACUCACUCGCUCGUUACCCCAUCUCACCGCGCUGGCGUCCCACUCUCACAGCUCGAGGCACCAGGAAUGGAACAAGCUGGUAAGUCAGAGGAUGAACACAACGCAGAACUACCGAGAAGAGAGUGAGUGAUGCCCAUGGCAGAAAGGGCAGAGAAGCACUGUCCCAGGUGAAAGCCAUCUAAGAAAGGAUGUAACAAUACUGGGCGUGGCAGCACACGGGCCUGCAGAUGGGGUGAUGGGGCCCAGGCAGCAGGAUUAUGUUUACAACAUCAUCUGCCAAAACCCUGUUUCAAAACAACACAGAUGGCAGGUGCUGCCCGCUCUAGGUAAAGAGGUGGCCUGGGCAGGGUGCUCGGGGCUCUUCGCGGUGUUUCUUGGGAGGACCACCGGUGGAUAAUUUGAACUGCACAGAAAUGUAUUCCCCACAGCUCUGGAGGACGGAAGCCAGAGGUCAAGGUGCCUGCGGGUUCGGGUUCAGGCUGGGCUCUUUUCUGCUGGCCACUGCCUUGCGUUGUCCUCCCUAAGGAGGGAUGUUCCCUGCCGUGUGCUUACAUCUGCAUGACAGAGCACAAACUCUCCUCCAAAGACACCACCCGAAGGCCCAGCGCUGCUGCUCUGGGGACAGAAUGUCAAAGGCGGAUUUUGCAGAUACAUCGUCUUAUCACAGACGAUGACGGACCAGAGCAACAGGGUCUCAUUCAGAAAGGCAGAACUUCAACCUCUUCAUCUUUGGAUUAUGUGGGGGGGGGGGGUAGAGGCCAACUUUUGCACAACCUGAGGACAUUGGUGCCACUCUUAGCAGAGCGGGGACAAUCCCUGGAGCAGUCCUCUAGCCAGUGCCCCAGGGCGAAGGCUGUGAGACCCAGAAUCUGCUCUCUGUACCUAACGGUGCUCCCGAGGAGGCAGAAAUGAUUUACCUUGACCUACUAAUCAUUGUGCAUGUGUACCCCAAACUGGUACACAGCCCUCUGUCACAUGGACAUUACUCAAUAUGAAGGGAAGUGGACCAUUUCCCGGCCUGAGUUGGAGUGGGAGGCAGAGAGCAGUGGAGUGGGCUGUACUUCUGUGAGCUGUUUCUGUUUGCAGGAUGGUCAUCACAGGCAGACAGGGGACAGUCGUGCCUGAGAGCUGACAAGCCUGUUUCUAUAGGCUUUCAUUGAAUGCAGCAUGGGAUGGAUAUUGCACAUUUUUUGUAUGUAUUGUUAACAUAAUUCUGGUAAGCAGGGACCCAGCCUAACUCUGUUGGGGCUGAUCUGGAGCUACUGUGUAUUCAAAUGUUAAUUGCUUCUUCCCUAAGAUCCUUAUGAGCAAAUCCUCAUGUACCCAAAAUGAUGCGGUGUAAACCUGGCCUCCCAAAUUGUUUCUGAUUGGCAAAUAAAGUUGCCUGCACUUAGGCUGGGCAGGAGAGAGGUAGGCGGAGCUAAGGCUCGAGGGCUUUGGGGGUCUUGGAGGACCAUGAGCAGAGAGGAAGAAGAGAGGAGCCAUGGGUUAGCAUGAACUUAGAAGCAUGUGUCUGGGAGGAGCUAGCUCUGAGGAUUAGCAUGCCGGAGAGAAGCGGCCCAGAUGGAAGACAUGUGCAAGUAUUUUAUGGGGUUAGGGCUGGGAAGUAGACAAGACAGCUCAGAGGGUUAAUAUCUUCCCAGCCCCAGUGCCUUUAGGCUUAUCAAAAAUCUAACAAGUUUCUGUGUCUUUAAUUUAUAUAAUAGCAGGUUAAGAAAUAACUGCCACCUUAAUAAUUAUAUUAUCAGUAUUAAAGAUUAAUAGUCAUACAACAAAAUUUGGUUCUUAAAUCAUAUUCAAAUGUAUCAGACUGUAAGCUCGGUGAGGCUUGUCGGUCACUCACCGACGGCGCUGCAGAGCCUAGCCACAUAUGCCUGCUUCAGAAUUAUUCAGGGCAGGAUGGUCAGUUCGGCAAGCAGCAAAGGACUGUAAGGGGUGCUAGGCUGCAGAGACAGAAGCUCCGUGCGGAAAGCACUGCUGUUCUGUUCAGGGGACUGGAAUUCGGCUUCCAGCACCAACAUCAGGCAGCUUACACCCGCCCACAGGGCCAGCUCCAGAGAGUCCAUUGCUUCUUCUGUACCCACAUGAACACACACAACACCACAGAGCACACAUACACAAGAUAAUAAAAUAGGAUUUUUAAAGAGAAUAGCUGUUGGUAUAAUUUUUUUUCUUGAAUGUACACAAUUCACCCUUGUUCAUUCACAUGCUGAUUUCUCUACCCCACUAUCUGGUUUCAAUAGGACAUUGCAUUGUGAUGUUUAUUCUAAACAUCACCUGUCUCAAGUUUCUGUAAACAUGCCCCCAUUUGUUCUCUGUAUUGUCAAUAAAACAACCAGCCCCAAUGCUGGGCAAUGGAGAGGAUAGGGUGGGACAUCCUGGUCCAGAGUGGGGGAGAAAGGAAGGAAGGAGCAGUGGCUCUGGAGGAGAGGUCUUGGAACUACAUGGAAAUAUAGGACCUGACUAACAGCAAGUAGAAUGGGAGAAAUCUGAAU
Meriones unguiculatus (Mongolian gerbil) is the source of this 5284-nucleotide long non-coding RNA. RefSeq lists it as uncharacterized. The record is from RefSeq and is a predicted model, not a curated record. Lineage: Eukaryota; Metazoa; Chordata; Mammalia; Rodentia; Muridae. The transcript is spliced from 3 exons.